GUAAUAGUGGUUCAGUGGUAGAAUUUUCACCUUCCAUGUAGGAGAGCUGGGUUCAAUUCUCAGCCAAUACA
This 71-nucleotide transfer RNA is filed under the name Loxodonta africana (African savanna elephant). It matches the Rfam family "tRNA". From Rfam's summary of the family: Transfer RNA (tRNA) molecules are approximately 80 nucleotides in length. Their secondary structure includes four short double-helical elements and three loops (D, anti-codon, and T loops). Lineage: Eukaryota; Metazoa; Chordata; Mammalia; Proboscidea; Elephantidae. The record is from Rfam by way of RNAcentral.